GGUGAAAGGCCAAUCAAACUCGGAGAUAGCUGGUUCUCUGCGAAAUCUAUUUAGGUAGAGCGUCAUCCGAAUACCCUCGGGGGUAGAGCACUGGAUGGGUAAUGGGGCCCCACAGGCUUACUGAUCCUAACCAAACUCCGAAUACCGAGGAGUACUAGAUGGCAGACACACAGCGGAUGCUAACGUCCGUUGUGAAGAGGGAAACAACCCUGACCUACAGCUAAGGCCCCUAAUUCAUGGCUAAGUGGGAAAGCAGGUGAGACGACCAAAACAACCAGGAGGUUGGCUU
This 289-nucleotide ribosomal RNA is filed under the name Pseudo-nitzschia pungens. Its description in RNAcentral is "partial Bacterial large subunit ribosomal RNA". It matches the Rfam family "Bacterial large subunit ribosomal RNA", at positions 819 to 1107 of the family's 2925-position model. Lineage: Eukaryota; Bacillariophyta; Bacillariophyceae; Bacillariales; Bacillariaceae. The record is from RNAcentral.